AACCUUUAGCCGUUGAUCACUCGGCUCAUGGGGGGUGAAGAACGCAGCAAACGAGCGUUAUGGUGUGAACGGCUGGACACAGGCACAUUGACAUGUGGACGCAUCCCGCAGUCCAUGAUGUAAGUAAUUUAAUGAAUUUAUAGUGCUGGUAGGAAUACAUAUGGUGGAGGGUCG
Molecule: ribosomal RNA, 174 nt
Filed under: Drosophila simulans
Lineage: Eukaryota; Metazoa; Arthropoda; Insecta; Diptera; Drosophilidae
Description: 5.8S ribosomal RNA
Source: RNAcentral